AAGUCGAGCGGAUGAAGGUAGCUUGCUACCGGAUUCAGCGGCGGACGGGUGAGUAAUGCUUAGGAAUCUGCCUAUUAGUGGGGGACAACGUUCCGAAAGGAGCGCUAAUACCGCAUACGUCCUACGGGAGAAAGCAGGGGACCUUUGGGCCUUGCGCUAAUAGAUGAGCCUAAGUCGGAUUAGCUAGUUGGUAGGGUAAAGGCCUACCAAGGCGACGAUCUGUAGCGGGUCUGAGAGGAUGAUCCGCCACACUGGGACUGAGACACGGCCCAGACUCCUACGGGAGGCAGCAGUGGGGAAUAUUGGACAAUGGGGGGAACCCUGAUCCAGCCAUGCGCGUGUGUGAAGAAGGCCUUUUGGUUGUAAAGCACUUUAAGCGAGGAGGAGGCUACCUAGAUUAAUACUUUAGGAUAGUGGACGUUACUCGCAGAAUAAGCACCGGCUAACUCUGUGCCAGCAGCCGCGGUAAUACAGAGGGUGCGAGCGUUAAUCGGAUUUACUGGGCGUAAAGCGUGCGUAGGCGGCCAAUUAAGUCAAAUGUGAAAUCCCCGAGCUUAACUUGGGAAUUGCAUUCGAUACUGGUUGGCUAGAGUAUGGGAGAGGAUGGUAGAAUUCCAGGUGUAGCGGUGAAAUGCGUAGAGAUCUGGAGGAAUACCGAUGGCGAAGGCAGCCAUCUGGCCUAAUACUGACGCUGAGGUACGAAAGCAUGGGGAGCAAACAGGAUUAGAUACCCUGGUAGUCCAUGCCGUAAACGAUGUCUACUAGCCGUUGGGGCCCUGAGGCUUUAGUGGCGCAGCUAACGCGAUAAGUAGACCGCCUGGGGAGUACGGUCGCAAGACUAAAACUCAAAUGAAUUGACGGGGGCCCGCACAAGCGGUGGAGCAUGUGGUUUAAUUCGAUGCAACGUGAAGAGCCUUACCUGGCUUUGAC
RNAcentral lists this ribosomal RNA (930 nucleotides) under Acinetobacter radioresistens. RNAcentral's name for it is "bacterial SSU rRNA". It matches the Rfam family "Bacterial small subunit ribosomal RNA", at positions 59 to 985 of the family's 1533-position model. Lineage: Bacteria; Pseudomonadati; Pseudomonadota; Gammaproteobacteria; Moraxellales; Moraxellaceae. The record is from RNAcentral.